RNAcentral lists this ribosomal RNA (468 nucleotides) under uncultured bacterium. Its description in RNAcentral is "partial 16S ribosomal RNA". It matches the Rfam family "Bacterial small subunit ribosomal RNA", at positions 28 to 507 of the family's 1533-position model. The record is from RNAcentral.
GACGAACGCUGGCGGCGUGCUUAACACAUGCAAGUCGAACGGAAAGGCCCUGCUUUUGUGGGGUGCUCGAGUGGCGAACGGGUGAGUAACACGUGAGUAACCUGCCCUUGACUUUGGGAUAACUUCAGGAAACUGGGGCUAAUACCGGAGAGGAGCUCCUGCUGCAUGGUGGGGGUUGGAAAGUUUCGGCGGUUGUGGAUGGACUCGCGGCUUAUCAGCUUGUGGGUGGGGUAGUGGCUUACCAGGGCUUUGACGGAUAGCCGGCCUGGGAGGGGGGCCGGCGACAUGGGGACUGAGGGACGGCGCAGACUCCUACGGGAGGCAGCAGUGGGGAGUAUUGCACAGUGGGCGGGAGCCUGUGGCGGCGGCGCCGCGUGCGUGAUGACGGCCUUCGGGUUGUGAACCGCUUUCGCCUGUGACGAAGCGUGAGUGACGGUAAUGGGUAAAGAAGCACCGGCUAACUACGUG